RNAcentral lists this ribosomal RNA (427 nucleotides) under Salmonella enterica subsp. enterica serovar Richmond. RNAcentral describes it as "partial 23S ribosomal RNA". It matches the Rfam family "Bacterial large subunit ribosomal RNA", at positions 200 to 668 of the family's 2925-position model. The record is from RNAcentral. Lineage: Bacteria; Pseudomonadati; Pseudomonadota; Gammaproteobacteria; Enterobacterales; Enterobacteriaceae.
AUCUAAGUACCCCGAGGAAAAGAAAUCAACCGAGAUUCCCCCAGUAGCGGCGAGCGAACGGGGAGGAGCCCAGAGCCUGAAUCAGCAUGUGUGUUAGUGGAAGCGUCUGGAAAGGCGCGCGAUACAGGGUGACAGCCCCGUACACAAAAGCGCAUGUGUUGUGAGCUCGAUGAGUAGGGCGGGACACGUGGUAUCCUGUCUGAAUAUGGGGGGACCAUCCUCCAAGGCUAAAUACUCCUGACUGACCGAUAGUGAACCAGUACCGUGAGGGAAAGGCGAAAAGAACCCCGGCGAGGGGAGUGAAAAAGAACCUGAAACCGUGUACGUACAAGCAGUGGGAGCACCCUUUGGGGUGUGACUGCGUACCUUUUGUAUAAUGGGUCAGCGACUUAUAUUCUGUAGCAAGGUUAACCGUAUAGGGGAGCCG